CGCAUUCGUAAUGCGAAGGUCGGGGGUUCGACUCCUCUCAUCGGCACCA
RNAcentral lists this transfer RNA (49 nucleotides) under Pusillimonas sp. Its description in RNAcentral is "tRNA-Ser". It matches the Rfam family "tRNA", at positions 27 to 71 of the family's 71-position model. Rfam says of the family: Transfer RNA (tRNA) molecules are approximately 80 nucleotides in length. Their secondary structure includes four short double-helical elements and three loops (D, anti-codon, and T loops). Lineage: Bacteria; Pseudomonadati; Pseudomonadota; Betaproteobacteria; Burkholderiales; Alcaligenaceae. The record is from RNAcentral.